Molecule: ribosomal RNA, 440 nt
Filed under: uncultured bacterium
Lineage: Bacteria
Description: partial 16S ribosomal RNA
Rfam family: Bacterial small subunit ribosomal RNA
Source: RNAcentral
CCUACGGGAGGCAGCAGUGGGGAAUAUUGGACAAUGGGGGGAACCCUGAUCCAGCGACGCCGCGUGAGUGAAGAAGUAUUUCGGUAUGUAAAGCUCUAUCGUCAGGGAAGAAAAUGACGGUACCUGACUAAGAAGCCCCGGCUAACUACGUGCCAGCAGCCGCGGUAAUACGGAGGGGGCAAGCGUUACCCGGAUUUACUGGGUGGAAAGGGAGCGUAGACGGUGCAGCAAGUCUGAUGUGAAAGGUCAGGGACCAACCCCGGGACUGCAUUGGAAACUGUUGAACUGGAGUAGAGGAGAGGUAAGUGGAAUUCCUGGUGUAGCGGUGAAAUGCGUAGAUAUUAGGAGGAACACCAGUGGCGAAGGAGGCUUACUGGACUGUAACUGACGUUGAGGCUCGAAAGCGUGGGGAGCAAACAGGAUUAGAUACCCUUGUAGUC